GUCGGGCACUGUGGCGCAUACCUGUAAUCCCAGGGGCUUGGGAGGCUGAGGAAGGAGGAUCACAAAUGCAAAGCCGGUCUCAGCAAUUUAGGGAGGCCCUAAGUAACUCAGUGAGACCCUGUCUCUU
Molecule: small RNA, 127 nt
Filed under: Marmota monax (woodchuck)
Lineage: Eukaryota; Metazoa; Chordata; Mammalia; Rodentia; Sciuridae
Source: RNAcentral